AGAGUUUGAUUCUGGCUCAGGAUGAACGCUGGCGGCGUGCUUAACACAUGCAAGUCGAACGAAGCACUUGAAACAGAUUCUUCGGAUGAAGUUUCCUGUGACUGAGUGGCGGACGGGUGAGUAACGCGUGGGUAACCUGCCUCAUACAGGGGGAUAACAGUUAGAAAUGGCUGCUAAUACCGCAUAAGCGCACGGCAUCGCAUGAUGCAGUGUGAAAAACUCCGGUGGUAUGAGAUGGACCCGCGUUGGAUUAGCUAGUUGGCAGGGUAACGGCCUACCAAGGCGACGAUCCAUAGCCGGCCUGAGAGGGUGGACGGCCACAUUGGGACUGAGACACGGCCCAG
Molecule: ribosomal RNA, 344 nt
Filed under: uncultured bacterium
Lineage: Bacteria
Description: bacterial SSU rRNA
Rfam family: Bacterial small subunit ribosomal RNA
Source: RNAcentral